AGAAGCUGCGUGGCCGGGCACAUGCAGACCUUUCAGGGAUGCAGAGAAUACAGCCUCGGUGCUUGCCUGCUUUCCUUGCGUUGGGCCUCUCUCUCCCCUCCCCCUUCUCGCCAACACCUUGAGCUUCCACGUCUCUGCACACAUCGUUGCAGGCCGUAGCUGUGCAGCCACCAUACAGCGUGUUUUCAUGUCCUGCCCACAACACACUGUCGCUCACGUCUCUCCGGCACUGAGGCGUUGAUCAUUCCUACUUCGAAUGAACCGAUGCAGUCUGCGGCAACAGGGGGCGCGUCUCGAUACGGUGAAGCCAGUGAAGCAGGCUUUCCCAGCUGAUGUGCCGCCGGCUGCGCACUCCCCCGCGGGUGCGCCAGAUGGACACAGGACUGUCUUCUCUCAUCAUGAUGGCGAGGCGCACAAUGACACGGCACGCCGAGACGAGCAGGCUAGCUACUCAUCGCAGUCUUCUCUGCCGCCGGCUCCCUCGGCGGUCACACCCUACACAGGCAACUGGCCUCCUUAUGCUCUGCUUCUCGUCUCUUGCUUGAUCGUAGCCGCGGCGGGGCUCGGCGGAAGUGCGGCUCGUGUGGCGCUGCAGAAGUGCUUUGAGAAGAACCCCUUCUUCCCGAAGUACAACUACAUCGGGCCCAACAUUCUGGGCAGCUUCUUGAUGGGCUUCUCUGUGACCGUCCUCCCACCCGAGGCCGCGCUGCCCUUGACCUACCGCGCCCUCUGCGUCGGCUUCUGCGGCAGCUUUACGACGUUCAGCUCGUGGAUUGUCAAGGUGAUGGUUCAGAACACCGUCGCAGAUGCCUUUGAGCACCUGCUCAUUGGCGGCACAAUGCCCCUUGUUUUCUUCCUCUGGGGCCGUGACUGCGGGCGUGGCGUGCGGUGGUGCUGUGCGCAUGUCGUUGGCUCUCCGUGGGAGACAUGGCCAUUGCACCGCUCGCUGCUUCGUGCCGUUGAUGCCGUCGUGCUUGUCCUUGUGGUUCUUGCAUCGAUCCUAUCGCCGGUUCUUGUGCUGGUGUACAUCAGCGAGGGCGGCAUCCGUGUCAUCUCCGCCGACGACGUUCGCGUGGUGGCGCUCGCCCCUGCCGGCGCGGUCACCCGCUUUGUGCUCUCGGUCUGCCUAAACAAGAGGGCCUGCGCCGCUCAGUUCCCACUGGGCACGCUAGCAGCCAACCUUCUAGGUGUGCUGCUCGCUGUCGUCAUGUGCAACAUGGAGGUCAACCACCUCUCCUGCGAGUGGUGCAUCGUUGUCCGGAAUGGCAUCGGCGGGGCGCUCUCCACCGUCUCCUCCGUCGCGAACGAGCUGGUUAGUUUCUACGGCAGCGGGCGAAUGCCGCUAGCGUACGUCUACGCGCUGGUGUCAGUUGGUUUCAGCGUCUUCAUUGCCGGCGUUGGACGACCUCAACUUCACCGCCGCGGCGUGAGCUGAGCAUCUCCGGCUAGUGCUUCAAAGGGAAGAGCGCGAUGCAGCGGCAGUGACGAGGCGCAGUGCAUCCCGUAGGCCGCGCUCCUUUCUUGGUUUCCUGCCACCGCCUUCCGCUUCACACUGCCCCCCCCUUUUAUAUGUGGACUUCUAUGUGUUGUGCUGUGUGCGUGCUGACGUGUGUGAGCGCCCUGCCAUCUGCUUAUACGGUUGUGCGCCGUAUCACAGAUACAAAACAAUGGUGCGCAGU
Molecule: unclassified non-coding RNA, 1679 nt
Filed under: Leishmania donovani
Lineage: Eukaryota; Euglenozoa; Kinetoplastea; Trypanosomatida; Trypanosomatidae
Description: gene:LdHU3.31.4770(CDS-product:CrcB-like_protein_ putative)
Source: RNAcentral